UACGAAGGGGGCUAGCGUUGUUCGGAAUCACUGGGCGUAAAGGGUGCGUAGGCGGGUCUUUAAGUCAGGGGUGAAAUCCUGGAGCUCAACUCCAGAACUGCCUUUGAUACUGAAGAUCUUGAGUUCGGGAGAGGUGAGUGGAACUGCGAGUGUAGAGGUGAAAUUCGUAGAUAUUCGCAAGAACACCAGUGGCGAAGGCGGCGACCUGGGUAGAUACUGACGCUGAGGCGCGAAAGCGUGGGGAGCAAACAGG
Molecule: ribosomal RNA, 253 nt
Filed under: uncultured bacterium
Lineage: Bacteria
Description: partial 16S ribosomal RNA
Rfam family: Bacterial small subunit ribosomal RNA
Source: RNAcentral